UAGGGAUUCUUCGGCAAUGGACGAAAGUCUGACCGAGCAACGCCGCGUGAGUGAAGAAGGUUUUCGGAUCGUAAAACUCUGUUGUUAGAGAAGAACAAGGACGUUAGUAACGGAACGUCCCCUGACGGUAUCUAACCAGAAAGCAACGGCUAACUACGUGCAAGCAGCCGCGGUAAUACGUAGGUGGCAAGCGUUGUCCGGAUUUAUUGGGCGUAAAGCGAGCGCAGGCGGUUUCUUAAGUCUGAUGUGAAAGCCCCCGGCUCAACCGGGGAGGGUCAUUGGAAACUGGGAGACUUGAGUGCAGAAGAGGAGAGUGGAAUUCCAUGUGUAGCGGUGAAAUGCGUAGAUAUAUGGAGGAACACCAGUGGCGAAGGCGGCUCUCUGGUCUGUAACUGACGCUGAGGCUCGAAAGCGUGGGGAGCAAACAGG
RNAcentral lists this ribosomal RNA (429 nucleotides) under Chloroflexota bacterium. Its description in RNAcentral is "Chloroflexi bacterium partial 16S ribosomal RNA". It matches the Rfam family "Bacterial small subunit ribosomal RNA", at positions 355 to 776 of the family's 1533-position model. The record is from RNAcentral. Lineage: Bacteria; Bacillati; Chloroflexota.